CCUACGGUGGACAGCAGUGGGGAAUAUUGCACAAUGGGGGAAACCCUGAUGCAGCAACGCCGCGUGAGUGAGGAAGGAUUUCGGUAUGUAAAGCUCUAUCAGCAGGGAAGAGAAAAGAAGGGACCGGAAAAAGAAGCCCAGGCUAACUACGUGCCAGCAGCCGCGGUAAUACGCAGGGGGCAAGCGUUAGCCGGAUUUACUGGGUGUAAAGGGAGCGGAGAAGGCAAGGCAAGGCAGAAGUGAAAGCCCCCGGCUCAACCCUGGGACUGCUUUUGAAACUGUCAAACUAGAGUACGGGAGAGGUAAGCGGAUUUCCUAGUGUAGCGGUUAAAUGCGUAGAUAUUAGGAGGAACACCAGUGGCGCAGGCGUCUUACUGGACCGAACCUGACGUUGCGGCUCG
Molecule: ribosomal RNA, 401 nt
Filed under: uncultured bacterium
Lineage: Bacteria
Description: partial 16S ribosomal RNA
Rfam family: Bacterial small subunit ribosomal RNA
Source: RNAcentral